AGUGAACGCUGGCGGUAGGCCUAACACAUGCAAGUCGAACGGCAGCACAGUAAGAGCUUGCUCUUACGGGUGGCGAGUGGCGGACGGGUGAGGAAUACAUCGGAAUCUACUUUUUCGUGGGGGAUAACGUAGGGAAACUUACGCUAAUACCGCAUACGACCUACGGGUGAAAGCAGGGGAUCUUCGGACCUUGCGCGAUUGAAUGAGCCGAUGUCGGAUUAGCUAGUUGGCGGGGGAAAGGCCCACCAAGGCGACGAUCCGUAGCUGGUCUGAGAGGAUGAUCAGCCACACUGGAACUGAGACACGGUCCAGACUCCUACGGGAGGCAGCAGUGGGGAAUAUUGGACAAUGGGCGCAAGCCUGAUCCAGCCAUACCGCGUGGGUGAAGAAGGCGUUCGGGUUGUAAAGCCCUUUUGUUGGGAAAGAAAAGCAGCAGGUUAAUACCCCGCUGUUCUGACGGUACCCAAAGAAUAAGCACCGGCUAACUUCGUG
RNAcentral lists this ribosomal RNA (492 nucleotides) under uncultured bacterium. RNAcentral's name for it is "partial 16S ribosomal RNA". It matches the Rfam family "Bacterial small subunit ribosomal RNA", at positions 29 to 507 of the family's 1533-position model. The record is from RNAcentral.